UACGGAGGAUCCGAGCGUUAUCCGGAUUUAUUUGGUUUAAAGGGUGCGUAGGUGGAUUGGUAAGUCAGUGGUGAAAGUUUGCAGCUUAACUGUAACAUUGCCGUUGAAACUGCCGGUCUUGAGUGCAAAUGAGGUAGGCUGAAUGCGUCGUGUAGCGGUGAAAUGCUUAGAUAUGACGCAGAACUCCGAUUGCGAAGGCAGCUUACUGGGAUGCAACUGACGCUGAGGCACGAAAGCGUGGGUAUCAAACAGGAUUAGAUA
RNAcentral lists this ribosomal RNA (261 nucleotides) under uncultured prokaryote. Its description in RNAcentral is "partial 16S ribosomal RNA". It matches the Rfam family "Bacterial small subunit ribosomal RNA", at positions 524 to 784 of the family's 1533-position model. The record is from RNAcentral.